This 501-nucleotide ribosomal RNA is filed under the name uncultured bacterium. RNAcentral's name for it is "partial 16S ribosomal RNA". It matches the Rfam family "Bacterial small subunit ribosomal RNA", at positions 30 to 523 of the family's 1533-position model. The record is from RNAcentral.
AUCGAACGCUGGCGGCAGGCUUAACACAUGCAAGUCGAGCGGGGGAAGGUAGCUUGCUACCGGACCUAGCGGCGGACGGGUGAGUAAUGCUUAGGAAUCUGCCGAUUAGUGGGGGACAACAUCUCGAAAGGGAUGCUAAUACCGCAUACGUCCUACGGGAGAAAGCAGGGGAUCUUCGGACCUUGCGCUACUAGAUGAGCCUAAGUCGGGUUAGCUAGUUGGUGGGGUAAAGGCCUACCAAGGCGACGAUCUGUAGCGGGUCUGAGAGGAUGAUCCGCCACACUGGGACUGAGACACGGCCCAGACUCCUACGGGAGGCAGCAGUGGGGAAUAUUGGACAAUGGGGGGAACCCUGAUCCAGCCAUGCCGCGUGUGUGAAGAAGGCCUUAUGGUUGUAAAGCACUUUAAGCGAGGAGGAGGCUACUUUAGUUAAUACCUGGAGAUAGUGGACGUUACUCGCAGAAUAAGCACCGGCUAACUCUGUGCCAGCAGCCGCCGUAA